Molecule: ribosomal RNA, 505 nt
Filed under: uncultured bacterium
Lineage: Bacteria
Description: partial 16S ribosomal RNA
Rfam family: Bacterial small subunit ribosomal RNA
Source: RNAcentral
GACGAACGCUGGCGGCGUGCCUAAUACAUGCAAGUAGAACGCACAGUUUAUACCGUAGCUUGCUACACCAUAGACUGUGAGUUGCGAACGGGUGAGUAACGCGUAGGUAACCUGCCUGGUAGCGGGGGAUAACUAUUGGAAACGAUAGCUAAUACCGCAUAAUAUUGAUUAUUGCAUGAUAAUUAAUUGAAAGGUGCAAUUGCACCACUACCAGAUGGACCUGCGUUGUAUUAGCUAGUAGGUGAGGUAACGGCGCACCUAGGCGACGAUACAUAGCCGACCUGAGAGGGUGAUCGGCCACACUGGGACUGAGACACGGCCCAGACUCCUACGGGAGGCAGCAGUAGGGAAUCUUCGGCAAUGGACGAAAGUCUGACCGAGCAACGCCGCGUGAGUGAAGAAGGUUUUCGGAUCGUAAAGCUCUGUUGUAAGAGAAGAACGGGUGUGAGAGUGGAAAGUUCACACUGUGACGGUAUCUUACCAGAAAGGGACGGCUAACUACGUG